GGUUCAGUUGGUAGAGCAUGGUGUUUGCAACGCCAGGGUUGUGGGUUCGAUUCCCAC
Molecule: transfer RNA, 57 nt
Filed under: Salmo salar (Atlantic salmon)
Lineage: Eukaryota; Metazoa; Chordata; Actinopteri; Salmoniformes; Salmonidae
Also listed under: 1 other name
Rfam family: tRNA
About the family: Transfer RNA (tRNA) molecules are approximately 80 nucleotides in length. Their secondary structure includes four short double-helical elements and three loops (D, anti-codon, and T loops).
Source: Rfam by way of RNAcentral